CCAAUAGCGUAUAUUAAAGUUGUUGCAGUUAAAAAGCUCGUAGUUGAAUUUCGGGACCAUCAUGUCGGUCGUGCCUCGGUACGUACUGGCAUUGUUGGUUUCUCCCUUCUGACGAACCAUGAUGUCAUUUAUUUGGUGUUGUGGGAAAUCAGGACUGUUACUUUGAAAAAAUUAGAGUGUUUAAAGCAGGCUCACGCUUGAAUACAUUAGCAUGGAAUAAUGAAAUAGGACGUUUGAUUCUAUUUUGUUGGUUUCUAGGAUCGAUGUAAUGAUUAAUAGGGAUAGUUGGGGGCAUUAGUAUUCAAUUGUCAGAGGUGAAAUUCUUGGAUUUAUUGAAGACUAACUACUGCGAAAGCAUUUGCCAAGGAUGUUUUCAUUAAUCAAGAACGAAAGUUAGGGGAUCGAAGACGAUCAGAUACCGUCGUAGUCUUAACCAUAAACUAUGCCGACUAGGGAUCGGAUGAUGUUAAUUUUUUAAUGACUCAUUCGGCGCCUUACG
RNAcentral lists this unclassified non-coding RNA (499 nucleotides) under uncultured Glomus. RNAcentral describes it as "SSU rRNA". It matches the Rfam family "Eukaryotic small subunit ribosomal RNA", at positions 591 to 1092 of the family's 1831-position model. The record is from RNAcentral. Lineage: Eukaryota; Fungi; Glomeromycota; Glomeromycetes; Glomerales; Glomeraceae.